UUUACAGUCAACCAAUAAUUA
Molecule: non-coding RNA, 21 nt
Organism: Caenorhabditis elegans
Lineage: Eukaryota; Metazoa; Nematoda; Chromadorea; Rhabditida; Rhabditidae
Source: Ensembl